UAGAAGUCAGGUCGGAUUAAGCCAUAGUACGGAAAAAACUAUGCUACCUGUGAGCCCCGUCCAAGGACGUAAAAAGAAGUCAGGCCAUCUUAAAUGCCAUAGCUUGAGUAAACUAUGCUGCCUGUAGCUCCACCUGAGAAGGUGUAAAAAAUCUGGGAGGCCACAAACCAUGGAAGCUGUACGCAUGGCGUAGUGGACUAGCGGUUAGAGGAGACCCCUCCCUUACAAAUCGCAGCAACAAUGGGGGCCCAAGGCGAGAUGAAGCUGUAAUCUCGCUGGAAGGACUAGAGGUUAGAGGAGACCCCCCCGAAACAAAAAACAGCAUAU
Molecule: long non-coding RNA, 327 nt
Filed under: dengue virus type 2
Lineage: Riboviria; Orthornavirae; Kitrinoviricota; Flasuviricetes; Amarillovirales; Flaviviridae
Description: Dengue virus 2 partial sfRNA1
Rfam family: Flavivirus DB element (bases 243-314)
Source: RNAcentral